GAUGAACGCUGGCGGCGUGCCUAAUACAUGCAAGUCGAGCGAACGGACGAGAAGCUUGCUUCUCUGAUGUUAGCGGCGGACGGGUGAGUAACACGUGGAUAACCUACCUAUAAGACUGGGAUAACUUCGGGAAACCGGAGCUAAUACCGGAUAAUAUUUUGAACCGCAUGGUUCAAAAGUGAAAGACGGUCUUGCUGUCACUUAUAGAUGGAUCCGCGCUGCAUUAGCUAGUUGGUAAGGUAACGGCUUACCAAGGCAACGAUGCAUAGCCGACCUGAGAGGGGGAUCGGCCACAGUGGAUCUGAGACCCGGGCCAGACACCUGCGGGAGGCAGCAGUAGGGAAUCUUCCGAAAUGGGCGAAAGCCUGAAGUAGCAACGCAGCGUGAGUGAUGAAGGGCUUAGGAUCGUAAAACUCUGUUAUUAGGGAAGAACAUAUGUGUAAGUAACUGUGCACAUCUUGACGGUACCUAAUCAGAAAGCCACGGCUAACUACGUG
Molecule: ribosomal RNA, 497 nt
Filed under: uncultured bacterium
Lineage: Bacteria
Description: partial 16S ribosomal RNA
Rfam family: Bacterial small subunit ribosomal RNA
Source: RNAcentral